This is a long non-coding RNA of Tribolium castaneum (red flour beetle), 5945 nucleotides long. RefSeq lists it as uncharacterized. The record is from RefSeq and is a predicted model, not a curated record. The transcript is spliced from 4 exons. NCBI's taxonomy places the organism in Eukaryota, Metazoa, Arthropoda, Insecta, Coleoptera, Tenebrionidae.
UGUCAAACUGCCGUCAUGUUGGUAUUGGUGUUCAUAGUAAAUUUAAAAAUUAAAGUUAGCAACAACUUAGCAAAAGUUGCUGUCAAAGCUGUUGACAGCGCGCGUCACAUUUGAAAUUGGAUUAUUUUUCUUCCCUGCAAUUCUUUAAAAUGGCUUCGCGCAAAAAAGGAACGGGUCUCUCAUUAACACAAAGAGAAAAAUUGGCAAUUGUAAGGUACAGCGAAGAAAUCACAAAUCAAAAUGCGGAGCUGAGAAAGAAGGAAAUUUGUGAAAAAGAUGCGCGCAUGUUCGAUAUUCAUCACACAGUUGCUUUCAAAAUUCUGGACCACUUUAAAGCCUCAAAGUGUGUAGAAGCUCCAAAGAAAAAAGGGAGGCCAAAAGUAAAUUAUAAAACGAACCCUGCAUUUUACUACAUUAAAGAGGAAUUGGGUCGACAGAUACAUUCAUUCCAUGCUAAUAAACAACAUUUUACUUUACAUGACUUGCACAAAUACGCUGUUGAAGAGUGUGAAUUCAUCUGCAAAAGUUCAAUAAUCGAAAAGUCCUUAUCGAGCAACCUCAUAUAAUCACGAAAAGAAUUCGUUUUAUCAGAAGAUACCUGCAAUAUUUAGAAUCAAAUACUUAUAUAUUCGUGUUCCUGGAUGAAACCUGAAUGUAUGAAAAUGGAAACAAAGUGCGCAUGUGGAUUAAUGAAUCUGAUCCCAAUAGGGUUCCAAAACUUGUUAACGCCGAGGGCAAAAUAUUUACUAUUCUACAUGCUGGUACUGUUGCAGGUUUUCUACCGGGAUGUGACUUACUUCUUAGCUCCGACUUAGAGCACCACGACUAUCACAAGAAUAUGAAUGCUGAAAUUUUCACUGCUUGGGUCAAAAAUCAAUUACUUCCGGCUCUAGCGUUGUUACCCAAACCGUGCAUAAUAGUCCUCGAUAAUGCCCCCUAUCACUCGGUGCAAGUCAAUAAAACACCAGUUGCAAGUUCAAAAAAAGGGAAUAUGAUACGUUGGUUGAACAUGAAUAACAUAGAAUAUCCUCCCAAUGCAUUGAAGAAAACGUUGUGGGAUAAAAUUCGCGAACACAAGGCUAAUUUGGAAAAAACAUAUAUUAUUGAUAAAUUAAUCAAAGAAAAUGGUCAUGUUGUAUUUCGAUUACCCCCCUAUAAUUGUCAAUACAACCCUAUUGAAUUGGCCUGGGGUUGUUUAAAGACUUAUUAUAACAAAAAUAUGCCAUCAUUUCCUUCUGCUGAAUCAAAGAUAGAAAAAGUUAAACUUCUGUGGCUCGAAGCGAUUUUAAAAUUUACACUUGCAAUGUGGAAUAAUAGUGUUCAACACUGCGAAAAAUUAAUUCGGGAGGACUGGGCAAAAUUAAUGGGCAAUUCCCCACUUGAAGACAUACCUCCAAUUAUUAUACAAUUGUCGGCGGAUUCAGAUGAUUCUGAGGACGAGGACUUUUGUGAUUCCGACUUUGAAUAGUUCUGAUGUUAUUUAAUAUUAUUAAACUGGUUUUAAUAUGAAAACACGUAUUUAUUGCUAUUUACAUUUCUAGACUGACACUUUAUCAAAAGUCGUUUAGGGGCAAAUCAUGACACAGCCUGGUCCGUACUUAAAUGUUUUAGGGUGAUACAGCGUGUUAUUUUUCUUUAUUGUGACAAUGACAAUUGUUUAUUAAAAAAAAAUACUGUAAUAGAGUAAGUGUGACAAAAUGCCUUAAAACGAGAUAUCAUACAGUAUUUUUUCUGCUUCGCACUUUUUGUAUCAAAAAAAUUAAUUUCGAAAUUUACGGAAUUUUGUAGCAGAUGACAAAUUUGCGCGCAGACAGUGAAAUGAAAUUAAUAAUUUGAAACGUCAUUAAUUUAUGUGUACAAAUGUAUUCUGAAAGUGUCCAAAACGUUUUGCAAUGUAUCCCUUAACAAAUUCGGGCUUUUGUGACAAAUACGUGGAAUUUGAAAAUUGGCCGAAGGCCGAAGACUAAUGAGAUUUCAAAUUACUUAUAGAAUAGACAACAUCCUAGUGACACGAUUUUUAAACGGCUUGAGAGGGAACUUAGAAGGAAUUGGCCUCUCCGUAAAAGAAGAAGACAACGCACUGCUAGGUCUUUGGAAAAUGAAGUUCGUGUUAUAGCUUCCGUGACAGAGAACCCACAAAUCGGACAGAGAAAUGUGGCCCGAGAAGUUGGCAUCAGCCAGACUUCAGUUUGUCGCAUUCUGAGGGAAAAUAAAUUUCAUCCGUAUCAUGUGCAGUUAGUACAAGAACUUUGAGAAACUGAUUUCGAACAAAGAUUAGAUUUUUGUCAGUUUAUCAGAACACAAAUGCAGGUUGACAAUAAUUUUGUUCAGAAAAUUUUAUUCAGUGACGAAGGCAAAUUUUCUAGCAACGGUAGCGUUAACAAGCACAACUGCCAUUGGUAUGAUCAGGAAAAUCCUCUGUGGAUACGUGAAGCACGUUUCCAACGAAUUGUUUCGGUAAAUGUUUGGUGUGGCAUCUUCGGGGACCGCAUAAUUCGACCAUUUUUUCCAAGAAAAUUUGACGGGUGAAAUCUACAUAAUUUUUUGCAAAACGUAUUAAGGCCAAUUUUGGAAAACUGACCACUGUCUAUCGUGGUUUGUGGUUUCAAUAUGAUGGAGCACCCCCACAUUACCAUAGACAUGUUAGGCAGUAUCUGGACCAUAUUUAUAAUAAUCAGUGGAUUGGUAGAGGAACCCUUAAUGCUUGGCCACCCCGUAGUCCGGACAUGACUCCAUUAGACUUUUUGUUAUGGGGUGAACAAGUGUAUGCAACACCUUUUGACACCGUCGAAUAGCUACAGGAACGCAUAACCAACGUAAUCCACAAUGUUUCGCCGGAACUUUUACAGUGUGUUCGAAGGUCUUUCCUCGAUAGAGUAGCGGCUUGCGAACAAGCAGGAGGCCAGCAUUCGUUAAAAAUCUUUUUUUGUCUCCCUUGUUUAUCGUUGCCAGUUAUGAUUUAGGAUAAAACUGUUUACCAACCUUUAAUGUUACAUUUUUUCAUACAUUUUGUAUUGGAGUUUCAACAAAGACUUCCUAAACUUUCUUUAUCAUUCCGCGAAAAAAUAAAAAAAAUAAAACACCAGAGUUUUCAGGUCGCAUCUACAGCCUCUGAGCUGACCUAACGACUACUAACUGGUAACUAGUAGUGACCGGGACCGACGGUUUAACAUCUCCUCCGAAAGACGAGUUAGUUGCGAUGUUUUUGGCAUUACAUUUCCGGUCACACAUCCAAGGUUAUAUAAUUUUGCUUUCUCCGUCAUAUGAGAAACACCUGCAGGAUUUACAAGAAUGUUUUCAAAGAAACCCAUAAUUUCAACAUCGAAUGGACCGCGCAAAAUGCCAUUUCGCGUGCGUCCAAUUCAAAUGUCUGGGCCCCCUUAUUACGCCUGAAGGUAUUCAAACAGACCCUGGAAAAGUUUCAGCCAUCUUAAACAUUUCCAAACCAAAGACAUUGAAACAGUGAGUUUCAAACAAUUAGUAGUAUCGAAACAACUACGGCCCCUAAUCACGAAAAAAUAUCACGCCGCCGCCAUUGCCGGUCACUAUGGAGCCAAAAACACCGCCUACAAGAUUAGAAAAAAGUUCGUCUGGCCCGGAAAGUACAGAUGCAGGGUGUUUGAAGAUUGCGCUCACAAAUUUUAACCACUAAAAGAAUGCCCUAUGAAAAGUCAAUUUGAAGAUCAAACAAAUUCCGUAUCCAAUUUUUUUUUAAUUUUCCCCUUCACGAUUUUCACGAGCCGUUCAGUAUGUCUCGCCUUGUUAGGUGGAAGCAAGGUAUUCAAUGAAAUAAUGUUGGUCAUGAAUAUCUGUAUGCACAAAAAAGGGAUAACUUUGUGCACGAAAAAAAAUAUCUGCCUCAAAAAAAUAUUAACAGGUGUUGACACACGUUGAUUUGGCCAAAUUUAAUCACGUUUUUGAGUGAAGUAAAUCGGUAUUGCUAAUUAGUAAUUACGUGUACUCCAACGCCGAAUUGACCGAUAUGGUCCAAUUCUACGAGGAAGUGUUCCCGCUUUUCGGAUCGACACAUCCCGGCCGCACGCACUUUUUUUAGCAACAGUGCAACACUUGCGGGACCACAACACAUUUUCGCCUGCAUUACGCGAUCGAGCGAACUGCACGCGUCUUAGAAGUGGAGUCUAAAAUUUUGGGGAUCGUUCAAGAAAAGCCCAGUGUGAGCAUCCGCAGUGUGGCCCUAUGUGUAGGAGUGUCUCCUUUUACGGUUAAUCGAACCCUACAUGAAUAGAGAUUGCACCCUUACCAUCUCCAUCUUCAGCCAGAAGACCCAGCUCGCCGAGUGGCUUUUUCGCAAUGGUUAAGCCACAAACUUGAUGAGAAGCCCAACUUUUUGCGCAAGGUGUUGUUUACAGACGAAUCAACUUUUACACCGUCACAACACCCAUGUGUGGGCAGAUGAGAAUCCUCAUCAAGUCUACGAGCACCACUUUCAAGACCGCUUUUCCUUAAAUGUUUGGGCAGGGAUAAUUGACUACUACCUAAUGGGACCCCACGUUUUACCAGAACAGUUAAAUGUGUUGGAUAAUGUUUUGAAGGACGUGCCCUUGACCUUACGAAUGGAUAUGUGGUUUUUACAAGAUGGAGCUCCACUACAUUUUGCCAGAGUCGUCACCAACUGGUUGAACAACCAUUUUCUGGUCACCGCGGUCACCGGAUUUAAAUCCGUGUGAUUUUUUUUGUAGGGUCACAUGAAAUAAUUAUGGCCGGUUGCACAAAAGUCAAAUUAAUCGACCAUCCUCCGUUAAAAUUUGAUGGCUUGUUAAUUGUGAUUGCGUUGCACAAAACAAUUUGCACAUGUUUUAAUCGUUCAUCAUAUGAUGCUCUGUUAAUAGUCCAUUAACAAAUAACAAAUUUGGCAACAAGGUUACAAUGUGUCACAGUCUUUCAAUUUGACAUUUGUCACUAGUGAGUUGUUCUAUUUUGGUUGUUUUCCGCUUUUAUUCUGGUGUGCUGUGUUGUUGUGGUUGAGUAAAGUAUACACAUAAUGAAAAAAAUAUUUUUCUUUCGGUGGUAGCAAAGUAAGUUUUUAUUAAAUUUGUUUUAGGGAAACCACUGAUAAGAAUGCGCAAAAGAUUUCAACACUUUAGUAUUACAAUUAAAUUUAUUAGCUACAACAGCCAAGAAAUUAAAAAUUUUUACGAGAAUCUUAGGCGAGACACGCGCAAAAGAGUGACAGGAACAUCAAAAGAAUAUAAAGCCCGAAUAAAGAAGGACAAGGCGAAGAAAGCUGCUGCUCACGACAAGAUAAUUACAAAUUUACAUAAUACUACAGUCUUUUUGUUAGAAAUUAUAAUUACAAAGAUUAUAAUAAAAGUAAAAAACAUUUAUUAAUAGAGUGAAAUAAUGAAAACAGGAGGAGGCAUUUCCAACUUGGAAAUGACUUCUGAACAAGGUUCUACUGGCCACUCUAGAGCAAGUGGAGCCGCUGGAGAAUCCGUACGACGGUGCAGUGGAACAAAAUUUCAUUUUUUAUGUCUUAAUAGAUGAUUUCAAAAUUUUUGAAACGCCAGUCUUCGAACUUGCUACCCCUAAACCUUCCUCCCACCCUUCCGAACUUAAUUGCCUUGGACCCUCUGCUCUACCCCCUGGAGCUAUCUGCGUUGCAACCCCAGUAUCUCGUCUCAAAUCAGUUCCCCCCCGACCAACACCCAGUAAAAAAAAACUAUGUCAAAGAAAUAAAUUAUAAGGAUCUGUUUUAUAAACAAAAAAUUUUAACAGAAAAAACAAUCAAAUAUUGUUAAAUUUAGAAAUAAGAAAAAUUACAUUAAAAAUUAAAAAAAUGCAAGACUGAAAUUUGGUUUUUUAUCUAGCGAAAAAAGUAUCUAUGAGGAAAUUUCGAACUGCAAAAUUAACAUUAUUUAUACUAUUUCCUUGGUAAAUAAUAUCUUCUUUAUCGUCUUCCAUUACUUCAUCAAAAUAUUCUUCAA